Molecule: non-coding RNA, 8542 nt
Organism: Callithrix jacchus (white-tufted-ear marmoset)
Lineage: Eukaryota; Metazoa; Chordata; Mammalia; Primates; Cebidae
Source: RefSeq, a predicted model, not a curated record
UAUCUGGCAUUUCUCCCCAUGCUAUCCCUCCCCAACUCCCCGCCCACUGCUGUCCCUCCCCUAGUUCUCCCCCAUACACCUCAGUGUGUGAUGCUCCCCUCCCUGUGUCCAUGUGUUCUCAUUGUUCAACACCCGCCUAUGAGUGAGACCAUGUGGUGUUUGGUUUUCUGUUCUUGUAUCAGUUUGCUGAGAAUGAUGGUUUCCAGGUUCAUCCAUGUCCCUACAAAGGACACAAACUCAUCUUUUUUUAUGGCUGCAUAGUAUUCCAUGGUGUAUACAUGCCACAUUUUCCCUGUCCAGUCUAUCACUGAUGGGCAUCUGGGUUGGUUCCAAGUCUUUGCUAUUGCAAACAGUGCUGCAAUGAACAUUCGUGUGCAUGUGUCCUUAUAACAGGAUGAUUUAUAAUCCUUUGGGUAUAUACCCGGUAAUGGGAUUGCUGGGUCAAAUGGAAUUUCUAUUUCUAGGUCCUUAAGGAAUCAUCAUACUAUUUUCCUCAAUGGUUGAACUAAUUUACACUCCCACCAGCAGUGUAAAAGUGUUCCUGUUUCUGCACAUCCUCUCCAGCAUCUGUUGUCUCCGGAUUUUUUAAUGAUCGCCAUUCUAACUGGCAUGAGAUGGUAUUUCAGUGUAGUUUUGAUUUGCAUUUCUCUAAUGACCAGUGAUGAUGAGCAUUUUUUCAUGUUUGUUGGCAUCAUAUAUGUCUUCUUUUGAAAAGUAUCUGUUCAUAUCCUUCACCCUCUUUUGAAUGGGUUUGUUUUUUUUUCUUGUAAAUCUGUUUUAGUUCUUUGUAGAUUCUGGAUAUUAGCCCUUUGUCAGAUGGGUAGAUUGCAAAAAUUUUUUUUCCCAUUCUGUUGAUUGCUGGUUCACUCUAAUGAUUGUUUCUUUCGCUGUGCAGAAGCUCUAGAGUUUAAUUAGAUCCCAUUUGUCUAUUUUGACUUUUGUUGCCAAUGCUUUUGGUGUUUUAGUCAUGAAGUCCUUGCCUAUGUCUAUGUCCUGAAUGGUUUUGCCAAGUUUUCUUCUAGGGUUUUUAUAGUGUUAGGUCUUAUGUUUAAACCUUUAAUCCAUCUGGAGUUAAUUUUAUUGUAAGAUAUCAGGAAGAGGUCCAGUUUCUGCUUUCUGCACAUUCCUAGCCAUUUUUCCCAACACCAUUUAUUAAACAGGGAAUCCUUUCCCCAUUGCUUGUUUUUGUCUGAUGUCAAAGAUCAGAUGGUUGUAAAUGUGUGGCAUUGCCUCUGAGGCCUCUGUUUUGUUCCAUUGGUCUAUAUCUCUGUUUUGGUAACAGUACCAUACAUUUUGAUUACUGUAGCCUUGUAGUAUAUAGUUUGAAGUCAGGUAGCAUGAUGCCUCCAGCUUUGUUCUUUUUGCUUAGGAUUGUCUUGGCUAUGCGGGCUCUCUUUUUGUUCCAUAUGAAAUUUAGGUGUUUUUUUCCAGUUCCGUGAAGAAGGUCAUUGGUAGCUUGAUGGGAAUAGCAUUGAAUGUAUAAAUUACUUUGGGUAGUAUGGCCAUUUUCACAAUACUGAUUCUUCCUAACUAUGAGCAUGGAAUGUUUCUCCAUCUGUUUGUGUCCUCUCUCAUUUCCUUCAGCAGUGGUUUGUAGUUCUCCUUGAAGAGGUCCUUUACAUCCUUUGUUAGUUGUAUUCCUAGGUAUUUUAUUCUUUUUGUAGCAAUUGUGAAUGGGAGUUCGUUCUUGAUUUGGCUCUCUUUAAGUCUGUUAUUGGUGUAUAGGAAUGCUUGUGAUUUCUGCACACUGAUUUUGUAUCCUGAGACUUUGCUGAAGUUGCUUAUCAGUUUCAGGAGAUUUUGGGCUGAGAUGAUGAGGUCUUCUAAAUAUAUAUAAUCAUGUCGACUGCAAAUAGAAACAAUUUGACUUCCUUCUUUCCUAAUUGAAUAUCCUUUAUUUCUUUUUCUUGCCUGAUUGCUCUGGUUAGAACUUCCAAUACUAUAUUGAAUAAGAGUGGUGAGAGAGGACAUCCUUGUCUAGUGCCAGGUUUCAAAGGGAAUGCUUCCAGUUUUUGCUCAUUCAGUAUGAUAUUGGCUGUGGGUUUGUCAUAAAUAGCUUUUAUUAUUUUGAGAUACAUUUCGUCGAUACCUAGUUUAUUGAGAGUUUUUAGCAUAAAGGGUUGUUGAAUUUUGUCAAAGGCCUUCUCUGCAUCUAUUGAAAUAAUCAUGUGGUUUUUGUCUUUGGUUCUGUUUAUGUGGUGGAUUACAUUUAUAGACUUACAUAUGUUGCGCCAGCCUUGCUUCCCCAGGAUGAAGCCUACUCAACGGUGAUGGAUAAGCUUUUUCAUGUGCUGUUGCAAUUGGUUUGCCAGCAUUUUAUUGAAGAUUUUUGCAUCUAUGUUCAUCGUGGAUGUUGGUCUGAAGUUUUCUUUUCUUGUUGAGUCUCUGCCAGGUUUUGGUAUCCAGAUGACACUGGUCUCAUAAAAUGAUUUGGGAAGGAUUCCCUCUUUUUGGAGUGUUUGGAAUAAUUUCAGAAGGAGUGGUACAAGCUCCUUUUUGUAUGUCUUAGAAUUUGGCUGUGAAUCCAUCUGGACCUGGGCUUUUUUUGGGUGGUAGGCUCUUAACUGCUGCCUCAACCUCAGUUCUUCUUAUUGGUCUAUUCAGGGUUUUGACUUCUUCCUGGUUUAGCCUUGGGAAGAUGCAAGUGUCCAGGAAUUUAUCCAUUUCUUCCAGGUUUACUGGUUUGUGUGCAUACAGUUGUUUGUAGUAAUCUCUGAUGGUGGUUUUUAUUUCUGUGGAAUCUGUGGUGAUAUCCCCUUUAUUGUUUUUUAUUGCAUCUAUUUGAUUAUUCUCUCUUUUCCUUUUUAUUAGUCUGGCUAGUGGUCUAUUUUGUUGAUCUCAGAAAACUAGCUACUGGAUUUAUUAAUUUUUUGAAGGGUUUUUGUGUCUCUAUCUCCUUCAGUUCUGCUCUGAUCUUAGUUAUUUCUUGUCUUCUGCUAGAUUUGGAGGUUUUUUGAUCUUGCACCUCUAGCUCUUUCAAUUUUGAUGAUAGGAUGUCAAUUUUAGAUCUUGCCUUGAUUCUCAUACGGGCGCUUAUUACUGUUUAUUUUCCUCUAUACACUGCUUUAAAUGUAUCCCAGAGAUCUGGUAUGUUGUAUCUUCAUUCUCAUUGGUUUUGAAGAAGAUCUUUAUUUCUGUCUUCAUUUCGUUGUUUAUCUACUCAACAUUCAAGAGCCAGUUGUUCAGUUUCCAUGAAGCUGUGUGGUUCUGAGUUAGUUUCUGAAUUCUGAGUUCUAGCUUGAUUGUACUGUGGCCUGAGAGACUGUUUGUUAUGAUUUCUGUUCUUUUGCAUUUGCUGAGGAGUGAUUUACUUCCAAUUAUGUGGUCAAUUUUAGAAUAGCUGUGGUGUGGUGCUGAGAAGAAUGUAUAUUCUGUGGAUUUGGGGUGGAGAGUUCUGUAAAUGUCUAUUAGGUUUGCUUGGUCCAGGUCUGCAGUUAAGCCCUGGAUAUCAUUGUUAAUUUUCUGUCUGGUUGAUGUGUCCAAUAUUGACAGUGGAGUGUUAAAGUCUCCCACUAUUAUUGUGUGGGAGUCUAAGUCUUUUUGUAGGUCAUUAAGAACUUGCUUCAUGUACCUGGGUGCUCCUGUAUUGGGUGUGUAUAUAUAUAGGGUCGUUAGCUCUUCUUGUUGCAUUGAUCCUUUUACCAUUAUGUAAUGUCCUUCUUUGUAUCUUUUGAUCUUUGUUGGUUUUAAGUCUAUUUCAUCAGAGACUAGGAUUGCAACUCCUGCUUUUUUUUGCUCUCCAUUUGCUUGGUAAAUCUUCCUCCAUCCUUUUAUUUUGAGCCUUUGUGUAUCCUUGCAUGUGAGUUGGGUUUCCUGAAUACAGCACACCAAUGAGUUUUGACUUUUUAUCCAAUUUGCCAGUCUGUGUCUUUUUAUUGGGGCAUUUAGUCCAUUUACAUUUAAGGUUAAUAUUGUUAUGUGUGAAUUUGAUCCUGCCAUUUUGAUGCUAGCUGGUUGUUUUGCCCAUUAGUUGAUGCAGUUUCUUCAUUGUGCUGAUACUCUGUAUCAUUUGGUAUGUUUUUGGAGUGGCUGGUACUGGUUGUUCCUUUCUAUGUUUAGUGCUUCUUUCAGGAGCUCUUAUAAAGCAGGCCUGGAGGUGAUGAAAUCUCUGAGCAAUUGCUUGUCCAUAAAGGAUUUUAUUUCUCCUUCGCUUAUGCAACUUAGUUUGGUUGGAUAUGAAAUUCUAGGUUGAAAGUUCUUUUCUUUAAGGAUGUUGAAUAUUGGCCCCCACUCUCUUCUGGCUUGUAGGGUUUCUGCUGAGAGAUCCGCUGUGAGUCUGAUGGGCUUCCCUUUGUGGGUAACCCGACCUUUCUCUCUGGCUGCCCUUAGCAUUUUUUCCUUCAUUUCAACUGAUGAUUAUGUGCUUUGGGGUUGCUCUCUUGAGGAAUACCUUUGUGGUGUUCUCUGUAUUUCCUGGACUUGAAUAUUGGCCUGCCUUGCUAGGUUGGUGAAAUUUUCUUGGAUAACAUCCUGAAGAGUGUUUUCCAGCUUGGAUUCAUUCUCUCCGUGACCUAUCAAACGUAGAUUAGGUUUUUUCACAUAAUCCAAUAUUUCUUGGAGACUUUGUUCAUUUCUUUUUAUUCUUUUUUCUCUCAUCUUGCCUUCUCAUUUUAUUUCAUUGAGUUGAUCUUCAACCUCUCAUAUACUUUCUUCUGGUUGGUCAAUUCUGCUAUUGAAACUUGUGCAUGCUUCAUGAAGUUCUCGUGUUGUGUUUUUCAGCUCCAUCAAUUUGUUUAUAUUCUUCUCAAACCUGUUUAUUCUUGUUAGCAUUUUGUCAAAGCUUUUCUCAAGGUUUUUAGUUUCUUUGCAUUGGAUUAGAACAUGUUCUUUUAGUUCAGAGAAGUUUCUUAUUACCCACCUUUUGAAAUCUGCUUUUGUCAGUUCAUCAGACUCAUUCCCCAUCCAGUCUUAUAUUCCCUUGCUGGUGAGGAGUUGUGAUCCCUUGGAGAAGGAGAAAUAUAUGGUUAUGGGUGUUUUCAUCCUUUUUAUGCUGGUUUCUUUCCAUCUUUGAGGAUUUAUCUCCCUGUGGUCUUUGUAGUCGGUGACUUUCAGAUUGGUUCUCUGAGUGGACGUCGUAUUUGUUGAUGAUGAAAUUAUUUCUUUCUGUUUCUUAGUUUUCCUUCCAACAGUCAGGCCCCUCUGCUGUAGGACUGCUGGAGGUCCAUUCCAGACCCUGCUUUCCUGGGGAUGACCUGCAGUGGUUACAGAACAGAGGCUGAGAAUUUGCACAUUUGUUGAACCUGCAAGAACUUGGAAGCCCAUAGUGCCCUUGAUGCUCCUGGACUCCCUGCUGAGACUUCUGGAUCCUAUGGCUCUCUGUGACUACUGCUGGAUCCAGAAACAGAAAAUGGGAAAAAAUAGCUUCUCUCUUCCUCUUGCCUUCUGGUCUUUCUCCAAGACCUGCCUUUGAAAAAAUCUAACUGGAAGCCACCUAGUUAAGAAACUUGGGAACCUAGUUUGCGAAUUUUUAGCACCUUGCAAUAUACAGAACAUUAAAGGGCAGGAAUUAAAGCUAAAAGUUACCUUUCCCAGGGAGUUGUAUUGUAGUUAUUUGUUUUGUUAUGUUUUGUGACAAAGUCUUACUCUGUCACCCAGUCUGGAGUGCAGUGGUACAAUCAUGGCUCACUGCAGCCCUGACUUCCUGGGUUCAGGUGAUCCUCUGGCUUCAGCCUCCUGAGUAGCUGGGACUACAGACGUGUGCCACCCAGGCUGACUAAUUUUUAAAAAACUUUUUUGUAGAGACAGAGUCCCACUAUGUUUCUCAGCCUGAUCUUGAACUCCAGGGGAUGAGGAGCAUCCCCUCUUUUCAUAUAAACUGUUUUUUGAGUCAGUGUUCCAGGGAUGGGUGACUGGGUCUCCAUCUUUGACUUAAGCAGAAAAUGGAUUUGUUGGAAGGAUAUCGAGUAAUUCAUAGAGCUACAAGAAUCCUGGAGACUCUAAUUUAGGAAACAACAGGAUCUGGUAAUGAGGAUGGAAUAGGGACUCUGCAAGACACUCCUGCUCAGAGGAAUCAUACUAUUUUUCAUUUUUAAAUAUCUACAGAAGAUUCAAGAUUUAAAGGAAGAAAAUGAAUCAGUCAACCUUGGGAAGGCCUGCACCUUCACUAGGAGAGGUCAUUUGGCAAAGUUAAAUAGGGAUCUGUCACCCAAUGAUACAGAAAUUGUUCUUGGGCAGCAAACACAUGAACAAAACCAGCUACUUCUGCAGUCCCUGUUGCCAGGUAUUGUUCUCUAGUUUCCUCCCUCCACCAUAUAUAAUAUAGCUCAUUCUAUAUUCCUCUGGGAUAAUGGCUUCCAUUCUUCCUUCCUGAGAAUUGCAAUCUUACUCUUGUCCCUAGCCUGGUGGCCUGGAGCUUGGUAACCCACUCCGGACAGGUCUUCUGAGCCUCAGACCUGGUAUCUACAUACUUGGUGAAUCAUCUAGUUACUUUAGCUUGAAACUUUUGAGAGUAAUAAUUAAGAGGAGGUUUUGCUUAAAUUAAAAGAGAAGUUUUAAUGAACUUUGAACUCUCUUCUUCAAUCUGAUGAAUAUUUCUUGGUACCCUCUGCAUCCUGGACAGCUACCCAAGUGACCUUCUGUUACUCGCAAUCUCUUCUGAUUUCCAUGAAAAGUGAAUUAAAAGACUUGACAUUAUUUUCCCACUUGGUCUACAUCUUUCUUUCCCUUCUUUCUUCCUCCCAAAGUCUGGCCCAUUUCAUUCUCCUGAUGGAUCUAAGCUUCAUAAUAAAUAUCACUGUGGCUCCCACUUAUUGAGCACUUACUAUGUUGAGCACCUACUAUGUGCCUAGGGCUUUAUACACAAUGUUUUAUUUAAUCCAGACCAGAACCCCAAAAAGUUCUCAUUACAAAGAUAGGAGAAUUAAGGCUCACAUAUCUAGUUAGUGAUGAAGUUCAUAUUUGUGCCCAAGUCAGCCUGAUUCCAAAACUUGCAUUCAUUUCAUAGAAGUAUGGGAUCUCUAUUACCUCCAGUAUGGGUACAGGAGAUGCAAGAGACGUCAGAGUCUCCUUGGACUUCUUUCCAGGUCUUUGUUUCAAAAUAACACUUUAGACAAAACAAGAUGUAAAAAUAUACACAGAAUGGAAAUCCCCACCUUUAUGAUUGCUUUAUUCUCAGCCUUUCAGGAUUAACUUACUGACAUGAUUUGGCUGUGUUGCCAUUGAAAUUUCAUCUUGAGUUGUAGUUCCUGUAAUCCCCACAUGUCAUAGGAGAGAACUGAUGGGAGGUAAUUGAAUCAUGGGGGCGGGGUUUUCCCAUGCUGUUUUUAUGAUAGUGAAUAAGUGAAUAAGACAGUUUAUAAAGGACAGUUUUCCUGCACAUGCUCUCUUGCCUGUCACGAUGUAAGAUAUGCCUUUGCUCCUCCUUUGCCAUCCACCAUGGUUGUGAGGCCUCCCCGGAAGUGUGGAACUGACCUGACUGAUACAGGCGUGAUUAGGUCAUAUUUGUGUUUUACAACAAUCCCUCUGGCUGCUUUAUGGAAAACAGAUUGGAGAAUGGCAAAGACUGGCUCCAAGGAGACCAGUGAGGAGGCGGCUAUUAUUCCGGAGGUAAACAUUUAUUGGAGAGAUUUAUAUUUGGAGAAAAAUUGGUUUUGUGGAGAGCCAGAAAGCAUACAUGCAAGAAACCAUUACAAAAGGCUGUACAAGAAUCAUGGCACCAGCAUCUGCUUCUGAUGAGAGUCUCAGGUCCCUUUUAUUUGUGGCAGAAGGCAGAGUGAAGCUGGUAUGCAGAAGUCACAUGGUGAUGAGGAAGCAAGAGAGAGCUGGGAGAUGCCAGGCUUUUUUUAACAACCAACACCUGCAGGAACUAGCACCAUGAGAACUUACUCAUUACAAAGAGGAUGGCACCAAGACAUUCAUGAGUGAUCUGCUCCCAUGAUCCAAACACCUCCCACUAGACCCCACCCCCAGCACUGGGCAUCAACUUUUAAUACGAGAUUUGGAGGGGGCAAACAAAUGAAACUAUAGCAAAACCAUUUCAUAUACUUUAUAAAUUUGCCUAGAAAGAUAAUACAAUACAUGCUAUUCAGUUAUUUGUAUUUUUAUCAAAUAAAAGCUUUCUAUUCAGCACAUGCAAAUCUGCCUCAUUCAUUCUAAAGGCUACUCAAUAUUACCUUGUAUGGAUGUUUCAUAAUUUACUUAAAUAGACACCUGUGAAUGGAUGCAGAGUAGUGAAUGUAUUUGGGAAGAUCCUGGAAUAGGAGAGAAAGACCUGUGAAUUACCUACAUGAGAGAGAUGGAUCAGAUUAAAGUAAUUCAGUGAAUUAGAGAGAAGAGCUCAGAUUCAAAAAGCAUUAAAGAAGUAAAAUUAAGAGAACUUGGUGAUUUCUUAUAAAUGAAGAAAGAGGGAGGAGAGGAAGAGGACUCUUGGCUUUUUGGCUUGACCAAAUAGUGAUGCCAGUCCCUAAAGAGGGAAAUAAAAUCACUCUCACAGUAAGGGAAAGCUGAUGGGCUUUGUUUUAGACAUGUUGAAAUUCAAGUGUCUAUAAAUCCUCCCAGUGGAGAUGUGGGGUAAACAGUUAAACAGUUGGCUCUAUGUGUCUAA